Molecule: unclassified non-coding RNA, 295 nt
Filed under: Hevea brasiliensis (rubber tree)
Lineage: Eukaryota; Viridiplantae; Streptophyta; Magnoliopsida; Malpighiales; Euphorbiaceae
Source: RNAcentral
AUGAAUAUAAAAAUCUGACCUUAUGGGAGGUAUAGGAUGAAUAAUGUCUGAUCUUGUUGGAAAAUGAAUUAUGAUUGAUCCAGUCUGAAGAUAAAUGAUGAGGUUGGCUUGCUUUUUCAGUGUAGAAAUUUCUGAGAUGUAAAGGUUGACAGAAGAGGUAGGAAUAGUUUUUAUUUACGCUGUAAUGUAGGAUGCUACUGGGGAAGAUAGGGUAUAAGUGAAGAGAAGAAUUCAAGAAUAGAUUUCUUUUGUCAAUUGAAGAAGGAAAGGAAGCAAGAAAUUUAAAUCUUAUUGG